GACCUCGGAUCAGGUAGAAUGCCCAG
RNAcentral lists this ribosomal RNA (26 nucleotides) under Diaporthe sp. CZ-2018. RNAcentral describes it as "partial 28S ribosomal RNA". Lineage: Eukaryota; Fungi; Ascomycota; Sordariomycetes; Diaporthales; Diaporthaceae. The record is from RNAcentral.